AACAAGUGUAUUUGGGUUAGGCUUCGUGGUGUCCCUCCAUUUCCACCCUCCUUUGCAGUUAUAUUUGAUCUUGUUCUUUGGGAUUGAUGCACCUCUAUGAUGCACAUGUUUCGGAUAAUGAUUGCCAAAACCAACGACAUAACUCAUCUUCCGCGGGUUUUUACCAAGGAUAUAAUCAAUCUGGGUCUUGGCAAAGUCACGCAAAACAUCAGUUGAAUAGAAAUUGGGUCCACAGUACCAUCCAG
RNAcentral lists this unclassified non-coding RNA (245 nucleotides) under Hevea brasiliensis (rubber tree). Lineage: Eukaryota; Viridiplantae; Streptophyta; Magnoliopsida; Malpighiales; Euphorbiaceae. The record is from RNAcentral.